GAUGAACGCUAGCGGGAGGCCUAACACAUGCAAGCCGAGCGGUAUGGGUAGCUUGCUACCCAGAGAGCGGCGUACGGGUGCGUAACACGUGUGCAACCUGCCCCUAUCCGGGGGAUAGCCCUCCGAAAGGAGGAUUAAUACCCCAUAAUAUAUCUGGUGGCAUCACUAGAUAUUGAAAACCCCGGUGGAUAGGGAUGGGCACGCGCAAGAUUAGAUAGUUGGCGGGGUAACGGCCCACCAAGUCGAUGAUCUUUAGGGGUCCUGAGAGGGAGAUCCCCCACACGGGUACUGAGACACGGACCAGACUCCUACGGGAGGCAGCAGUGAGGAAUAUUGAACAAUGGGUGGAAGCCUGAUCCAGCCAUCCCGCGUGAGGGACGACGGCCCUAUGGGUUGUAAACCUCUUUUGUACGGGGAUAAACCUAUCUACGUGUAGAUAGCUGAAGGUACCGUACGAAUAAGCACCGGCUAACUCCGUG
This 479-nucleotide ribosomal RNA is filed under the name uncultured bacterium. RNAcentral describes it as "partial 16S ribosomal RNA". It matches the Rfam family "Bacterial small subunit ribosomal RNA", at positions 28 to 507 of the family's 1533-position model. The record is from RNAcentral.